CUAACUUGGUGGCGCACUUGGACAAGUUCUUGGUGGGCAACGGUGUAUUUCUAAAUCGAAUACGCAACUAAAAGCCCGCUGAUACUGAGCGGGCUUUUUUAU
Vibrio metschnikovii CIP 69.14 is the source of this 102-nucleotide non-coding RNA. The record is from Rfam. NCBI's taxonomy places the organism in Bacteria, Pseudomonadati, Pseudomonadota, Gammaproteobacteria, Vibrionales, Vibrionaceae.